AACAAAACAAAGUGUGCUUCUGCAAAAGCAGAGGAGAGAGAGCGAAAUAAAAAUCAACACUUGCUACUUUUCAACUCUCUGUCCCUUCCUGGAGUUUUGCAAUUUUGCUGCCACUCUCUCAUCUUUUAAUCCUCCGUUUUAGCUUCUCGCCAGAGUAUCCCAGGCGGGUGUCUCCGACGUGUCCGUAGCGUCUCUCUCUCUCUCUCUCUCUCUCUCUUGUCGGUUCCAUCUCUAACCUGCGCGGAUUAGGGAUCUCAUCGAGGACAUCUAAUGGCGUCUGGUGAAUUUCUCAUCUCAUGCUCCUCUAAAGCUAAUCAGUUUCAUUCAACAUCCCUCCCACUGGAUAACCACUCUGUGACGCCGACCACUGCCACCACCGGUCUUGUAUUUCCGGCGAACUACGGUGUUAAACCUGAAGCUGCUUUGGUCAUGGAUUGGUUCCCUGAGGAGCAGUAUGUUUUGGAGAAGGGUCUUGCAAAAUUGAAAGAUGAACCGAAAGUUUCAAAGUAUGUGAAGAUCGCUGCAGCUCUGCCGGAUAAAACUGUAAGGGAUGUUGCAUUGAGGUGUAGAUGGAUGACGCGAAAACGAAGAAAAAGAGCAGAAACCAGUGCUGGGAAGAACAUUAGCAAUAUAAAGGUGGUGGAUACAUCCCCAGAACUGAACAUGCUAGCCAAUGUGCCACAACAAAAUGCUGUAUAUGUCAUGAACAAUAUGCGCCACAGUACACAUAUUCCUUUUGAAGGUCCAAGUGACGAAGUAAUGGAUCUUCUACAGCAAAAUGCUCAAGCUUUCAGUCAGAUUUCUUACAACCUCUCCGCGUACAAGUUGCAGGAUAACAUCAGUCUCUUUUGUCUGGCAAGAAAUAACAUCAGCGCCAUUCUGACCGACAUGAAGGAGAUGCCUGGUAUCAUGAGUCGGAUGCUGCCUCUACCUGUUUCAGUUAACGAUGAUCUUGCCAGUCGUUUAUUUGCGAGUACAACACAGAGCUUCAUGACCCUAGAAGUGCUAAAGAGUUUCAUACAGUCUACAUACAUUUCUGUAUCGUUGAGCAAAGUCUUUGUUUAUGCAUCUAUGUUGAGGAACUGAAUUAGAUGUCUUAGCAGGAUGAAUCUAUGGAAGGAAAGUUUUAAGUGAAAAUAUACUUUUAAGGAAAAACACAGCCAAGAUCAUACACCAUUCAACCAAGCAUCCACCUGAAGCAAGAGCCGAGAAUUUGAUGGGGAAAGCUGGAUUUUGACCAAUGCUAAAAAAACAGCAAGUACAUGGUACGCUAUCGACAUGACACAGACAAACAAUGGUUUAUCAACUGCAGACACGGCUCCAGUACACACACGAGAUUUGGCAAUCGGCACUAGUAGAAUACUUGUGCUCAGAGAAGAAUGAACUACAUGCCCCGUGAGGCAAAGGUAAAAAACUCUUUGGCCUUCACUAGAACAUAUGAUUCCUUGAAGUUCAUAAAAGAGUUUCUGUUCCGGCAUGGGUUGAUAGAACUCCAAUGCCCUUUGCUGUAAUCAUGUUGAUACUUAAAUUAGUAUAAUGAACUCUUCUUCUGAGUUUGGUAUGUGUAAUACUAAUUCUCGUUCAGGUAAUAUUCUGUAACAAUAUUUAAAUAUAUAUAACCAUGCCAACAGAAGUAAACUUGCAUCA
Molecule: RNA transcript, 1647 nt
Organism: Brassica napus (rape)
Lineage: Eukaryota; Viridiplantae; Streptophyta; Magnoliopsida; Brassicales; Brassicaceae
Exons: 10
Source: RefSeq, a predicted model, not a curated record